This 797-nucleotide ribosomal RNA is filed under the name Lepeophtheirus salmonis (salmon louse). RNAcentral's name for it is "partial 16S ribosomal RNA". Lineage: Eukaryota; Metazoa; Arthropoda; Copepoda; Siphonostomatoida; Caligidae. The record is from RNAcentral.
AAAAUAUCUAUCCUCCCUCUAAGCCUAGGUAGAAAACUAAGUUAUAAGACAAGGAUGAACACGAUAUAUGGUACUUUUUAAAAUCUGGUUCCCAAAGAAAUAAAACAUUUUAAAAAGAAUUUUAAAAUAAUGUAUUUAGCUUAUGCUGAGUAUAUAUUAGUGAGCAACUAAUUUAAAAAUAUUUAAGGAAUAAUAGUCCCCUCUGUUAUAAUAAAUUACUAUUGACCUAAUUUAUUUAUUAAGCUUCUCUUCUUAUUUGGGUAAUUAAUUCUAAGAAUUAGAACUUGUUUACACUAGUAAAUAUACUUUUAUUAUUUUCUUACUUAAAUAAGUUUUAUCAAUUUUAAAUUAAAUAUAAACUAAAUAACUUGAGAUUCUCCAAACUGUUUAACAAAGACAUAGUAAGACUGUGUCUUAUGUAUCUGCCCAAUGAAUAAUUUUUUAUGGCUUUAAAGUAGCGCAAUAAUUAGUUUAUUAAUUGUAAACCUGUAUGAAGCUAGCAUUGGUUAAUCAUGUUUAUUCUUAUCUGUUGAAUCUUAGUUAUCAGUACAAACGCUGAUAUCGCCCCCCGAAGACGAUAAGACCCUAAGACCUUCACCUUGUUUGGCUGGGAUAGCCUACUUAAUAUAAUAAAGAAACCUUAAUUAUUACGAACCAAUUAUUUUGCUAUACAUAGGUACCUUAGGGAUAACAGCGCGUAAUACUUUUAGAGCUCUUAUUUAAAAGAUAUUCGUGACCUCGAUGUUGAAUUAAGUAAUAUAGUGCUGCAGAAGGUGCUAUUUUAAGUCUGUUCGACU